GAGGAUAUAGCUGAAGUGGUAGAGUGCAUGCUUAGCAUGCACGAGGUCCUGGGUUCAAUCCCUAGUACCUCCU
This 73-nucleotide transfer RNA is filed under the name Camelus ferus (Wild Bactrian camel). It matches the Rfam family "tRNA". From Rfam's summary of the family: Transfer RNA (tRNA) molecules are approximately 80 nucleotides in length. Their secondary structure includes four short double-helical elements and three loops (D, anti-codon, and T loops). Lineage: Eukaryota; Metazoa; Chordata; Mammalia; Artiodactyla; Camelidae. The record is from Rfam by way of RNAcentral.